CCUACGGGAGGCUGCAGUGGGGAAUAUUGCACAAUGGGCGCAAGCCUGAUGCAGCCAUGCCGCGUGUGUGAAGAAGGCCUUCGGGUUGUAAAGCACUUUCAGCGGGGAGGAAGGCGUUAAGGUUAAUAACCUUGUCGAUUGACGUUACCCGCAGAAGAAGCACCGGCUAACUCCGUGCCAGCAGCCGCGGUAAUACGGAGGGUGCAAGCGUUAAUCGGAAUUACUGGGCGUAAAGCGCACGCAGGCGGUCUGUCAAGUCGGAUGUGAAAUCCCCGGGCUCAACCUGGGAACUGCAUUCGAAACUGGCAGGCUAGAGUCUUGUAGAGGGGGGUAGAAUUCCAGGUGUAGCGGUGAAAUGCGGAGAGAUCUGGAGGAAUACCGGUGGCGAAGGCGGCCCCCUGGACAAAGACUGACGCUCAGGUGCGAAAGCGUGGGGAGCAAACAGGAUUAGAUACCCCGGUAGUC
This 465-nucleotide ribosomal RNA is filed under the name uncultured Klebsiella sp. Its description in RNAcentral is "bacterial SSU rRNA". It matches the Rfam family "Bacterial small subunit ribosomal RNA", at positions 338 to 795 of the family's 1533-position model. Lineage: Bacteria; Pseudomonadati; Pseudomonadota; Gammaproteobacteria; Enterobacterales; Enterobacteriaceae. The record is from RNAcentral.